This 1528-nucleotide long non-coding RNA is filed under the name Brassica napus (rape). RNAcentral's name for it is "long non-coding RNA (BNAP_LNC025868)". Lineage: Eukaryota; Viridiplantae; Streptophyta; Magnoliopsida; Brassicales; Brassicaceae. The record is from RNAcentral.
AACACUACGGUAUUCGUCUAUAUUCAAAUGGGGAAUAUGAUGCCACGUUUUAGAAGGAUAGGCAAAUAGUGGAGACACUGAAGCUUGUGAAAGAGUUUUGGAGAAAAUGCUGGAGAGAAAAAAUGGCAUAUCAAGUUGGUCAAAGCUUGAACCAAGACACCCGGCUAAUUUUGUGAUGAUCUCAAAGAUAUAUGGAGAUCAGACAUAAUGAUGCUGCUAGGCUAUGAUAGAUACUGGCUUUAAAAGAAAGAAAGCAGAUGUUACCUAGUUGAGACCGAUGAUGGGCUAUAAUCUUGAGGAGAGAAGCAUAGUAGAAAAGAGGAAUUACAGAGGUUGAUAGAGCUUGAUGGACUUCAACACUACUGAAGAAGCUUCCGGUUAAGAUUGGAUUUGGAUCCAUUAUAGGAAUAGCCGUGAACACAUUUCUGGAAUGUAGAUUUUGAUACGUCUUUAGUUGCUAAACAUCAAACACUAAAACAACAUAACACAUUCAAUAUCCAGACAAAAGAAAAGAAGGUUUGCAUAGCACACAAGUUUUUUUUUUUUUUGGACAACACAUUGCACAGAAGUUAAUAUCAUAAGCACGUCUUCUCUCAGAGAGAGAUUUCUACUCCCUUCUUCUGCUUUCCCUCCCUAGUCUCACUCUUCUUCUUCUUCUGAAUUCCCUCCCUGGUCUUAGAAGGAUAGGCAAAUAGUGGAGACACUGAAGCUUGUGAAAGAGUUUUGGAGAAAAUGCUGGAGAGAAAAAAUGGCAUAUCAAGUUGGUCAAAGCUUGAACCAAGACACCCGGCUAAUUUUGUGAUGAUCUCAAAGAUAUAUGGAGAUCAGACAUAAUGAUGCUGCUAGGCUAUGAUAGAUACUGGCUUUAAAAGAAAGAAAGCAGAUGUUACCUAGUUGAGACCGAUGAUGGGCUAUAAUCUUGAGGAGAGAAGCAUAGUAGAAAAGAGGAAUUACAGAGGUUGAUAGAGCUUGAUGGACUUCAACACUACUGAAGAAGCUUCCGGUUAAGAUUGGAUUUGGAUCCAUUAUAGGAAUAGCCGUGAACACAUUUCUGGAAUGUAGAUUUUGAUACGUCUUUAGUUGCUAAACAUCAAACACUAAAACAACAUAACACAUUCAAUAUCCAGACAAAAGAAAAGAAGGUUUGCAUAGCACACAAGUUUUUUUUUUUUUUGGACAACACAUUGCACAGAAGUUAAUAUCAUAAGCACGUCUUCUCUCAGAGAGAGAUUUCUACUCCCUUCUUCUGCUUUCCCUCCCUAGUCUCACUCUUCUUCUUCUUCUGAAUUCCCUCCCUGGUCUUGCUCUUCUUAUUCUUCUUCUUCUUCUUCUUCUUCUUCUUCUGAUUUCCCUCCGAUGUAUCACUCUUCUUCUGCUGUCCCUCAGUAAUGAAACAUAGAUUUGGAUCUUCUAUCUGCUCCCUUGUGAAGCGAGUUAGGCUACCUAAAACAAACAGACAGACGAAUCAAUGAAAGGUUUUACUUGGUUAAAAAAAAAGAAUAAAGAAUCAAAUUUACGUACUUGGGUG